Molecule: non-coding RNA, 97 nt
Organism: Acanthosepion pharaonis
Lineage: Eukaryota; Metazoa; Mollusca; Cephalopoda; Sepiida; Sepiidae
Source: the annotation of a GenBank genome assembly
CGACCAUAUCACAUUGAAACACAUUGAUCACCAAAGUUAAGCAACGCCGAGCCUGGUCAGUACCUAGAUGGGUGACCGCUUGGGAAUACCAGGUGCU